Molecule: unclassified non-coding RNA, 291 nt
Filed under: uncultured fungus
Lineage: Eukaryota; Fungi
Description: partial contains 5.8S rRNA, ITS2 and 28S rRNA
Rfam family: Eukaryotic large subunit ribosomal RNA
Source: RNAcentral
AAGGAGUCUAACAUCUACGCGAGUGUUCGGGUGUCAAACCCGUGCGCGAAGUGAAAGCGAACGGAGGUGGGAACACUCACGGGUGAACCAUCGACCGAUCCUGAAGUCUUCGGAUGGAUUUGAGUAAGAGAGUAGCUGUUGGGACACGAGAGAUGGUGAACUGUGCCUGAAUAGGGCGAAGCCAGAGGAAACUCUGGUGGAGGUUCGUAGCGGUUCUGACGUGCAAAUCGAUCGUCGAAUUUGGGUAUAGGGGCGAAAUACUCAUCGAACCAUCUGGUAGCUGGUUCCUGC